Molecule: ribosomal RNA, 249 nt
Filed under: Pelagomonas calceolata
Lineage: Eukaryota; Pelagophyceae; Pelagomonadales; Pelagomonadaceae
Description: partial Eukaryotic large subunit ribosomal RNA
Rfam family: Eukaryotic large subunit ribosomal RNA
Source: RNAcentral
AGCGGAGGAAAAGAAACUAACAAGGAUUCCCCUAGUAACGGCGAGUGAAGCGGGAUGAGCUCAAAUUUAAAAUCUGGCGGCCUCAGGUCGUCCGAGUUGUAGUCUAGAGAAUCGUUUUCCGCGUUGGCCUGUGUACAAGUCCCUUGGAACAGGGCGUCAUAGAGGGUGAGAAUCCCGUCCUUGACACAGACUACCAAUGCUUUGUGAUGCGAUCUCGAAGAGUCGAGUUGUUUGGGAAUGCAGCUCAAA